This 468-nucleotide ribosomal RNA is filed under the name uncultured bacterium. RNAcentral's name for it is "partial 16S ribosomal RNA". It matches the Rfam family "Bacterial small subunit ribosomal RNA", at positions 28 to 507 of the family's 1533-position model. The record is from RNAcentral.
GACGAACGCUGGCGGCGUGCUUAACACAUGCAAGUCGAACGGAAAGGCCCUGCUUCUGUGGGGUGCUCGAGUGGCGAACGGGCGAGUAACAAGUGAGUAACCUGCCCUUGACUUUGGGAGAACUUCAGGAAACUGGGGUUAAUACCGGAUAGUAGCUCCUGCUGCCUGGAGGGGGUGGGAAAGUUUCGGCGGUUGGGGAUGGACUCGCGGCUUAUCAGCUUGUUGGUGGGGUAGUGGCUUACCAAGGCUUUGACGGGUCGCCGGCCUGAGAGGGUGACCGGCCACAUUGGGACUGAGAGACGGCCCAGACUCCAACGGGAGGCAGCAGUGGGGAAUAUUGCACAAUGGGCGGAAGCCUGAUGCAGCAACGCCGCGUGCGGGAUGACGGCCUUCGGGUUGUAAACCGCUUUCGCCUGUGACGAAGCGUGAGUGACGGUAAUGGGUAAAGAAGCACCGGCUAACUACGUG